Molecule: ribosomal RNA, 460 nt
Filed under: uncultured bacterium
Lineage: Bacteria
Description: partial 16S ribosomal RNA
Rfam family: Bacterial small subunit ribosomal RNA
Source: RNAcentral
CCUACGGGUGGCAGCAGUGAGGAAUAUUGGUCAAUGGACGAGAGUCUGAACCAGCCAAGUAGCGUGAAGGAUGACUGCCCUAUGGGUUGUAAACUUCUUUUAUAUGGGAAUAAAAUGUUCCACGUGUGGGAUUUUGUAUGUACCAUAUGAAUAAGGAUCGGCUAACUCCGUGCCAGCAGCCGCGGUAAUACGGAGGAUCCGAGCGUUAUCCGGAUUUAUUGGGUUUAAAGGGAGCGUAGGUGGAUUGUUAAGUCAGUUGUGAAAGUUUGCGGCUCAACCGUAAAAUUGCAGUUGAAACUGGCAGUCUUGAGUACAGUAGAGGUGGGCGGAAUUCGUGGUGUAGCGGUGAAAUGCUUAGAUAUCACGAAGAACGCCGAUUGCGAAGGCAGUUCACUGGACGGCAACUGACACUGAGGUUCGAAAGUGUGGGUAUCAAACAGGAUUAGAUACCCCUGUAGUC